Molecule: long non-coding RNA, 843 nt
Organism: Melitaea cinxia (Glanville fritillary)
Lineage: Eukaryota; Metazoa; Arthropoda; Insecta; Lepidoptera; Nymphalidae
Exons: 2
Source: RefSeq, a predicted model, not a curated record
UUCUUCUAUUUUUUUUUUUUUUUUGCAUAUUAAUUUUUUCCGUUGGUGAAACUUCGGUAAUGUAUGGGACAAACAUUGUUCGAACGCUGGCUAGAAUUAUUAUUGCUUGUUUAUGUUAGGUCGCUAAUAAAUAUGAAAUAUUAAAAAGUAAGAUAUUGACAUUGACAAAUGGAGAGAAAAUUGGUUUGAGGCUUGACUAAAUUUUAUCUACAAUUCCUAUCAAGCAAUUAGUAUUAUUUUCCUCGAUACACCACGGCGGAGUCGAGUAUUUAUUUUAUCUACGUGUGUCAAAAAUGUCGGAAAAAUGUCGGAAAAGUUGCGGAAUUCGACGUGAAGAGGGGAUCGUGGUCAUUAUGCAUAGAACGCCUGGAAAUUAAUGAAUUUUAAGGUGAGGGUAAUAUCAACGACGGACUAAAAUUACCUUCUUUAAUAGCGGUCAUGGGAGACGAGGCGUAUGAACCAUUAAAAAAAUUAUCAAGCGCCAAAACACUAGCUGAGAUGGAAUAUUCGGUGACGGUAUCGAUAGUGAAAAAUCAUCUACAACCGAGAGCGUUGCCGGUUUAGGCAAAGACGUAAGUCAGGCUAUCGGCGAGAACGUUGCGAGUUAUAUAGAUGAACUGAAGGGGUUGGCGCGUCACACGAUAGCAAAAAUACCAUUAUUUCAGAAGAAUAUAUAAAUAAUGAACUAAGACGGUCGAUAGAAGUAAACGAAGAGGCAUUAAAAUUCUGCGAUUAAUCAAGUUUUAGACACAACUUUAUCCAUUAGAAAAUCGACAUAAAACCAACAACUCUCCAAAGUCAUUUUACAAGAAUAUAUAAAAAGGCUGGGAAAACGGGGAAAAU